RNAcentral lists this ribosomal RNA (63 nucleotides) under Methanohalophilus portucalensis FDF-1. The record is from RNAcentral. Lineage: Archaea; Methanobacteriati; Methanobacteriota; Methanomicrobia; Methanosarcinales; Methanosarcinaceae.
UGCCAGCGUUGUAUACUGUACUAAAGUGCGAGAGCCUUUGGGAAAUAUGCAUCGCUGCUGACU